GUUAAUUGCGCAUUGGCUAGCGUUGUUUUUGUUGUAUGUGGAAUGAGUGAAAAUUAAACCAAAGCGGAAUGGAUAGAAUGAGUGGAUGCAGAGUAAAUGUGUAGAGUACUCGCAUAAAAUUUUGGCAUUCUCUUCAUUCAUGGCAUGCAGAGCAGACGCAGCAGAGCAGAAAUUUUAUAAUAAUAAAAAUCCAGAGCUCGGACGAAAUCUCUACCACGUGCAGUCUUUUCCAUGUGUUUGUAUUACAAACAAACUUUGUAAUCACCUUUCGGAUGCAGCCGUAUCUACGCAAAAAUCCAAACUUUUAAAUGGAGAGUAUAUUUUCAACCUUAAAAAGGGACGUAGUAAAGUUUGGGAAAUAUUCGCCAAUAUAAAAGAAAAGGAUGGAGAGGACAUAUCUGGUGUAGUUGCCUGCAAAAAGUGCUACAGUGUGUAUAAAUUUACUGGAAGCACUUCAAACUUAAAUUAUUGCUAACAAUUCUAAUACAGUAAACCAAAUAAUGUUUCUCCAUUCUGUUAUUGAAAAUUAAAAUAAAUAAAAUAUAUACUUAUACAUAAAAAUUA
Molecule: long non-coding RNA, 564 nt
Organism: Drosophila erecta
Lineage: Eukaryota; Metazoa; Arthropoda; Insecta; Diptera; Drosophilidae
Exons: 3
Source: RefSeq, a predicted model, not a curated record